RNAcentral lists this unclassified non-coding RNA (345 nucleotides) under uncultured fungus. RNAcentral describes it as "partial contains 5.8S ribosomal RNA and internal transcribed spacer 2". The stretch from base 1 to 133 matches the Rfam family "5.8S ribosomal RNA", at positions 22 to 154 of the family's 154-position model. Lineage: Eukaryota; Fungi. The record is from RNAcentral.
UGGUUCUGGCAUCGAUGAAGAACGCAGCGAAAUGCGAUAAGUAAUGUGAAUUGCAGAAUUCAGUGAAUCAUCGAAUCUUUGAACGCACAUUGCGCCCGCCAGUAUUCUGGCGGGCAUGCCUGUCCGAGCGUCAUUUCAACCCUCGAACCCCUCCGGGGGUGCGGCGUUGGGGAUCUCGGCCCUCCUUCAGCGAGGCGCCGGCCCCGAAAUGCAGUGGCGGUCUCGCCGCAGCCUCUCCUGCGCAGUAGUUUGCACACUCGCACCGGGAGCGCGGCGCGUCCACGUCCGUAAAACACCCAAAACUUCUGAAAGGUUGACCUCGGAUCAGGUAGGAAUACCCGCUGA